ACACUUCCCUCACUUCCCGGAAGGAACAAACAAACGAGGAACAUUUUCGGUUCAUUAUCAUAGCCAAUAUUCCUAAGAAUCCGAUGUGAAACGAGAAGUCGAAUGGCAACUAAAAGAACAUUUCGUGUCACGAGCAUGAACAUAGUACAA
This is a long non-coding RNA of Drosophila innubila, 150 nucleotides long. RefSeq lists it as uncharacterized. Lineage: Eukaryota; Metazoa; Arthropoda; Insecta; Diptera; Drosophilidae. The record is from RefSeq and is a predicted model, not a curated record. The transcript has 2 exons.